AGAGUUUGAUCAUGGCUCAGAUUGAACGCUGGCGGCAGGCCUAACACAUGCAAGUCGAACGGUAACAGGAAGCAGCUUGCUGCUUUGCUGACGAGUGGCGGACGGGUGAGUAAUGUCUGGGAAACUGCCUGAUGGAGGGGGAUAACUACUGGAAACGGUGGCUAAUACCGCAUAACGUCGCAAGACCAAAGAGGGGGACCUUCGGGCCUCUUGCCAUCAGAUGUGCCCAGAUGGGAUUAGCUUGUUGGUGAGGUAACGGCUCACCAAGGCGACGAUCCCUAGCUGGUCUGAGAGGAUGACCAGCCACACUGGAACUGAGACACGGUCCAGACUCCUACGGGAGGCAGCAGUGGGGAAUAUUGCACAAUGGGCGCAAGCCUGAUGCAGCCAUGCCGCGUGUAUGAAGAAGGCCUUCGGGUUGUAAAGUACUUUCAGCGGGGAGGAAGGUGUUGUGGUUAAUAACCGCAGCAAUUGACGUUACCCGCAGAAGAAGCACCGGCUAACUCCGUGCCAGCAGCCGCGGUAAUACGGAGGGUGCAAGCGUUAAUCGGAAUUACUGGGCGUAAAGCGCACGCAGGCGGUCUGUCAAGUCGGAUGUGAAAUCCCCGGGCUCAACCUGGGAACUGCAUUCGAAACUGGCAGGCUUGAGUCUUGUAGAGGGGGGUAGAAUUCCAGGUGUAGCGGUGAAAUGCGUAGAGAUCUGGAGGAAUACCGGUGGCGAAGGCGGCCCCCUGGACAAAGACUGACGCUCAGGUGCGAAAGCGUGGGGAGCAAACAGGAUUAGAUACCCUGGUAGUCCACGCCGUAAACGAUGUCUACUUGGAGGUUGUGCCCUUGAGGCGUGGCUUCCGGAGCUAACGCGUUAAGUAGACCGCCUGGGGAGUACGGCCGCAAGGUUAAAACUCAAAUGAAUUGACGGGGGCCCGCACAAGCGGUGGAGCAUGUGGUUUAAUUCGAUGCAACGCGAAGAACCUUACCUGGUCUUGACAUCCACGGAAGAAUUCAGAGAUGGAUUUGUGCCUUCGGGAACCGUGAGACAGGUGCUGCAUGGCUGUCGUCAGCUCGUGUUGUGAAAUGUUGGGUUAAGUCCCGCAACGAGCGCAACCCUUAUCCUUUGUUGCCAGCGGUUAGGCCGGGAACUCAAAGGAGACUGCCAGUGAUAAACUGGAGGAAGGUGGGGAUGACGUCAAGUCAUCAUGGCCCUUACGACCAGGGCUACACACGUGCUACAAUGGCGCAUACAAAGAGAAGCGACCUCGCGAGAGCAAGCGGACCUCAUAAAGUGCGUCGUAGUCCGGAUUGGAGUCUGCAACUCGACUCCAUGAAGUCGGAAUCGCUAGUAAUCGUGGAUCAGAAUGCCACGGUGAAUACGUUCCCGGGCCUUGUACACACCGCCCGUCACACCAUGGGAGUGGGUUGCAAAAGAAGUAGGUAGCUUAACCUUCGGGAGGGCGCUUACCACUUUGUGAUUCAUGACUGGGGUGAAGUCGUAACAAGGUAACCGUAGGGGAACCUGCGGUUG
RNAcentral lists this ribosomal RNA (1522 nucleotides) under Salmonella enterica. RNAcentral describes it as "bacterial SSU rRNA". It matches the Rfam family "Bacterial small subunit ribosomal RNA". RNAcentral also lists the same sequence under 1 other name. Lineage: Bacteria; Pseudomonadati; Pseudomonadota; Gammaproteobacteria; Enterobacterales; Enterobacteriaceae. The record is from RNAcentral.